UCAGAAGCCAAGCCAAAGAGGAAAAGAGCGAAGAAAAACCAAAGCGGUGAGUCAGAUGAACUGCCACCCAAAACUACCAACUCCUGCAAGCUCCAGAAAACAAAGAGCUGCCCAAGAAUCAGCAGAGACUAGUCAGCCCAAAAAGUCAAGAGGCAGCAAGAAGAAGUAAAACUGUUCAAAAUCAUUGAAUUUAAG
Molecule: long non-coding RNA, 195 nt
Organism: Thrips palmi
Lineage: Eukaryota; Metazoa; Arthropoda; Insecta; Thysanoptera; Thripidae
Exons: 3
Source: RefSeq, a predicted model, not a curated record